GAUGAACGCUAGCGAUAGGCUUAACACAUGCAAGUCGAGGGGCAGCAUGGUCUUAGCUUGCUAAGACUGAUGGCGACCGGCGCACGGGUGCGUAACGCGUAUGCAACUUGCCUCACAGAGGGGGAUAACCCGUCGAAAGACGGACUAAUACCGCGUACACUCUAUUUUGGGCAUCCAAGGUAGAGGAAAUGAAAUUCGCUGUGAGAUAGGCAUGCGUCCCAUUAGCUAGUUGGUGAGGUAACGGCUCACCAAGGCGACGAUGGGUAGGGGAACUGAGAGGUUGAACCCCCACACUGGUACUGAGACACGGACCAGACGCCUACGGGAGGCAGCAGUGAGGAAUAUUGGUCAAUGGGCGAGAGCCUGAACCAGCCAAGUCGCGUGAAGGAUGACUGUCUUAUGGAUUGUAAACUUCUUUUGUAGGGGAAUAAAGAGGGGCACGUGUGCCCCAGUGAAUGUACCCUACGAAUAAGCAUCGGCUAACUCCGUG
Molecule: ribosomal RNA, 490 nt
Filed under: uncultured bacterium
Lineage: Bacteria
Description: partial 16S ribosomal RNA
Rfam family: Bacterial small subunit ribosomal RNA
Source: RNAcentral